This is a long non-coding RNA of Salvia miltiorrhiza (redroot sage), 646 nucleotides long. RefSeq lists it as uncharacterized. NCBI's taxonomy places the organism in Eukaryota, Viridiplantae, Streptophyta, Magnoliopsida, Lamiales, Lamiaceae. The record is from RefSeq and is a predicted model, not a curated record. The transcript is spliced from 2 exons.
CUUAUUCCUUCUACGAUCUAUAUAUAAUUAUAUACCAUGAGGUAUCUAACGUAAAAAUUACUAGAAACGCUGCACAUUUGAAUUCUCAAGCUUUCAAGCAUUCUACUCAUUCUCCCAAGACCACAAUGUAUUUCAAAAUAAGCACACUGACUACCAGCAUCGCAUUCAACAUGUACAUAAAAUUGACCUCAAGUUUUAUCUGACUCAAGUAAGUGAUUUUGAACUCAAGUAAGUGAUUUUGAACCGAACCUUGUCUAAGUUGAAAAGAUAAUUUAAAAGAUUUUUUAAGCAAGUUAAAAUUUACCACCACAUUCCACACAUAUUUCAGUUUUCUAGUUUAAUUGAUCAGCUGACGAGCAAUCAAUAGGAUUUUUAACUAAUCACUUAGUUAGGCAUGAUUUAUCUGGACAUCAAACAAUUUACAUCAAUUUUGCUGAUACAUGUCAUCCAACUAAUUCAGUAUCAACUAGUCUGUCUUGAAACACUUAAGUUGAAAAAAAAGUAAAAUUAUUAAUGAUGUAUUUCUCUCCCUUCCUACAUAAGUACAUAUUCGUAUUGAGACCAACAAGUAGUAAUAAUAAUAAUACGUUGUGUAGUCAUUAAAUAUAAACAAAAUUUAAUAUAGCCGUUGACCAGCCAAAACUGC